Molecule: ribosomal RNA, 253 nt
Filed under: uncultured bacterium
Lineage: Bacteria
Description: partial 16S ribosomal RNA
Rfam family: Bacterial small subunit ribosomal RNA
Source: RNAcentral
UACGUAGGUGGCAAGCGUUGUCCGGAUUUACUGGGCGUAAAGAGCGCGCAGGCGGUCGUUCAAGUCGCGUGUGAAAGCCCCCGGCUCAACUGGGGAGGGUCACGCGAUACUGAUCGACUCGAAGGCAGGAGAGGGAAGUGGAAUUCCCGGUGUAGUGGUGAAAUGCGUAGAUAUCGGGAGGAACACCAGUGGCGAAGGCGACUUCCUGGCCUGUUCUUGACGCUGAGGCACGAAAGCUAGGGGAGCAAACAGG